This 148-nucleotide small RNA is filed under the name Arabidopsis thaliana (thale cress). RNAcentral's name for it is "ATSL169780". Lineage: Eukaryota; Viridiplantae; Streptophyta; Magnoliopsida; Brassicales; Brassicaceae. The record is from RNAcentral.
AAAAAAAAAGAAUAUCUGCAUGUAGAUCAUAUUUUCUUGUCCUUUAGUGAUAAAAAGUGUGUGAUCCAUAAAGCAGUCCAUGCUAUCAAUUUAUGAGCGUUCUAUCUACAAAACACACAUUUUAAAAAGUAAUUAUUUUCUUAAAAAU